AUUGAACGCUGGCGGCAUGCCUUACACAUGCAAGUCGAACGGCAGCACGGGAGCAAUCCUGGUGGCGAGUGGCGAACGGGUGAGUAAUGUAUUGGAACGUGCCCAGUCGUGGGGGAUAACGUAGCGAAAGCUACGCUAAUACCGCAUACGAUCUAUGGAUGAAAGCGGGGGAUCGCAAGACCUCGCGCGAUUGGAGCGACCGAUAUCAGAUUAGGUAGUUGGUGGGGUAAAGGCUCACCAAGCCGACGAUCUGUAGCUGGUCUGAGAGGACGACCAGCCACACUGGGACUGAGACACGGCCCAGACUCCUACGGGAGGCAGCAGUGGGGAAUUUUGGACAUUGGGCGCAAGCCUGAUUCAGCAAUGCCGCGUGCAGGAUGAAGGCCUUCGGGUUGUAAACUGCUUUUGUACGGAACGAAACGGCGAGCUCUAAUACAGUUUGCUAAUAACGGUACCGUAAGAAUAAGCACCGGCUAACUACGUGCCAGUCGCCGCGGUAA
Molecule: ribosomal RNA, 500 nt
Filed under: uncultured bacterium
Lineage: Bacteria
Description: partial 16S ribosomal RNA
Rfam family: Bacterial small subunit ribosomal RNA
Source: RNAcentral